This 3579-nucleotide unclassified non-coding RNA is filed under the name Ooceraea biroi (clonal raider ant). RNAcentral describes it as "pancreatic lipase-related protein 2, transcript variant X1". The record is from RNAcentral. Lineage: Eukaryota; Metazoa; Arthropoda; Insecta; Hymenoptera; Formicidae.
UAGCGUAAAAGGCUCCCGGAGCGUCACUCGAGACUUUGGGCGCUCGACCAUGCUCCCAUCUCUUCUCGUGCCGAUGCUCUGUCAUUUGUACAUUUUCCGAAGAGGUAAAUCACGCGAUAGUGCGAAACAGUUCGCUUACGCGAGUGACUUUUUUUUCGUUUUAUUUCAUCAAGAGAUUAUUUUCAUAAAAGUGCGCCUUCAAGUACGAGAUGUACGAGGCAAUGCAUCGAUCAGCUGUGCGCAGUAAUUAGUAUUAGCAUUCAAUAAUGCUGCACACACUCAUUCCAUGAAUAUUCCAUAUAUGCAAUUAUGUUUGGCUCACAAUGAUUAUCGCUGCACAUCAUACACGGAAUUAAUUACUUUUAUUAGAAAUAUGAGUGAUGUCCAAAUGCGUACAAAAGGCGCUCUUGAAAUAUAUUUAUUAUUUUCGUCAAUCGGAAACGUAAUCGAGCGUCGGCGGAUCGCAAGUGGAUCAUGCAAUUAUUCGUGUGAAUAAUUUCCCGUGCAGUCGGUGCCACGUGAUUACGUCACAAGUGUAAUUCCGUGUAGUUAAUAACGGUCAGCGUCACGUAAGCCGGCGUGAUUUACAUCAACGAUGUCAACGUGUAAUAAAAGCACUAACGUCGAGAAAUAACGCUGGACUCCAGCGGCAAUUAACUAUGAUGAACGACUCGUUAAACGAGGAAGAUAUUUGGCAGGAAUGCCAAAAGUGCAACGAGACCAGUUGUUUUUGCGUCCAGUUUCGAAAGCGAGCGAUCGAUCGCGUCUUCUGUUGCCGCGUUUCAACACGUUCGCAUCUCUAGCCGAUCCCGUCGUGAAAUAUUCAAGUCAAUAAGUAGCGUCAAUAGUGCCACGUGUGCUCUUCAGAUUCGUCUGCCAUCCAAUCGCAACGUGAUCCGUUGCACCGAUAUUAUUUAAAAUGAGGUAAUCAGGACGCGUAACGCAUUCAAACGCGCGAGAACUACGCUCACGCGUUUAAUUAUACGCUACAAUAAAUCUCUGUUGUACGCCGUGAUCCCCUUAUCUGAAUCACGUCGUCGCGUCGGCGCGUUUCCAGUGGGGAUCCUCUUCCCGCAAAAACGCGAUCGCGAAUCAUCCGGUACAACCGGUACGCGCAUUGGGGACUGCACCGCUUUCACCAUAACGUUACCUUUGUUGUAGACAAACGGAUCUAGUGACCCCUUAAACUUAAUGCAGUUUAAUGCGACGCAUUGUGUCAGCAGAUGUUUAAUUCGUUAACUAAGAGAAAAUCUUCGAGUCACUCCGAGAAUUAUUAUUAAGAAAAAAUGAAAAGAUCUUAGAGGAACCAUGACUAUGGGACGACAUCGGCCGUACACGCAGCACUAUAUUUCGCACUUCUUUCCUCGUGGUUGAGAGAAAAGAUCGUACGCCUGGUUUCCGCCGAUAAUAUCGCCGACAUUCUCGGUGUUCGGGGAACCGUGCCUCGUUGCAGCUGCAAAAGUUGCAGCUCAGAUGCAGUGUCAUCAAACCGACGCAAAUCACGCCGGUACACGCAGCAAUGCCGAUUAUGGCGAUAAUAAAAAAGCGUGAAGGCCUUACCAUAACGGUUGUGCGGAAGGCGCGCAAUGACCGACAUUGCGAAAGUCCGAUCUCUUUGUAUUCUCUUUUACUAUAUAUAUUUGCCGUUCACUUCUCUCACCUGCUAAGAGGAGUCUGCUCGAAAGGACGACGCCUUCGAGAUCGCGCGUUUUCCACGAAUAGAUCAAUCUUUGUUGCCUCUAUCUUCAAUUUACGCUGACAUAAUCGCCAGUCACGAUUCUUGGAGCGGCUCGGCGUGAAGCGUCACGAAUUUCGCGGCGAAAGUGCAGAGCCGCGAGCCAUUUUUCGGGAAGCUGUUUGAAAUCGCGUGUAACUAUCUCGUGGCGCAACCGUGAGAUAUGUCGUCGCAAUUUGUUAAUUAUAUUUGAAAACCAAUUUCACUAAUAAAAAAAAUUGCACUUUUGUCAUUUAAGUAUUUAUUUAAUUAUUCGACAUGUCACAGUUUCCUUCGACGGGCGCGUGAAAUUUUUUUCGCACUCCUCUCAGCGGCUACUUUCGCGGUAACCACGUUCCUCAAAAACAUUUCUCGUUUUCAUCGCGUGAAAAGUGCUUUCGACGGAAAAUAAUUAAAACUGCUGGCCGGUGCUCGUUUCCACACAAAAGUCGUUCAUUUUUGACGCGUUGUCGCUCACCAAGUAGGGAGGUUUGAGGGGUUGCGAGCCCGGCGAGCCUCGACGGCCACUUAACCGCGUACGUUUCCCGUGCGAGCUUAAUUGCCACGGAGCACGGCAUCACGUGCGUUGGCGAACUAGAUGAAACGACGGAUUACUCCCACGUUUACCCUAACAUCACGUCGAUACACACAAACCGAUCGGACAGGUACAUUUACAGGUAUGCGGCUUUGCCAGUCCGCUCUCAAAAUUAGUUCAUCACUAUGUGAACCAUUGCGACCAUCGUUUGACGAUUAACCCAUUGGGACAUGACCGCUCGCUUGGCAGGACCAAUAUCCCAGUUCGCUGAAGUCGUUAAUCUUCCUUGUCAUCCCUAAGGAGGCGAUGAUGGUUCUUGAUGAAUAAUCGAAAAAGGAGAUUUUCUAAGUGGAUCGUGCGAAGAUCAGAGUAAUCUAGUUUGCGGACGUUUAUUGUUACUCGUUUAUUGUUGAGUGACUGUAAACGUUUUCAUGUAUCCACGGGAACAUGGAAACGCGCGGUUUCCGUGUGAAAAUAUUUCGCGCAACGUGGGGAGGCAAAGGGGUCUCUCGACGGGGUUGGUAUCGCGCACCGUCGAUCUCCGCUGACGCUGCACAACACGCGACAUAACGUGACCAUCGUCAGGUUCAAUGACGACGACCGUAGCGAUUGGUCGAGGACGGCCGUCGUCGUCGCUGCUGGCAUUAUGCACCAUUUAAUACAGCAGACAGGACGCACAGAGAGUGAUGAAUGUGGCCGCCAGAAAUACAUUACGCGCUACCUUCCGCGUAGAUCCUUUCGAAUCUACCUGGUCAUCGACUAGUUCGGUCGAGGAAUAAAACCGAAAAGAAGGAAGUGUAAAACAGAAAUGAGGUAGAGAGACGGUAGUGAGGGCAGAGAGAUGGAGAGAAAUUGCGAGGGGAUACCAUACUCCAUCUGACUCUGCUUCCCACCGGUACGUGUUUCUAUUGCUGCCCUAUCCAGUUUAAUCGGGACGUCCAAUUUAAAUUGUAUACCAGGUACAACGUUGUUCGUGCUAUGGAAUCAUCAUCAUUCAGUAAUGUACUUUAAACGUUCAAGCUUAUCCUCUCACAUUAACAUUGUGCUUUGAUUAAGAGUCCUAAUUAAUCAAGAAUUUCGUUAAUUCGUUGGCUUCUCAGAAAAUGUUUCAUUCGGAUAGUACAUUUUAAUUACUUAAAUUAUUAAAUUUCGGUUUUUCCGAUAUUUUUUUCCACAAAUCACCGAAUCCAUCAUCGAUCAUAUUAAAUUCCAGAAAUUUUGCUCAUAGCGACAUUUUUCUUGCGUUUCGCAUUAACUCACGGCAGGCGGAAUCCGACGUAUCCGACUAUACUGGAUCCCAAUGAUGCCACAACGUUGUGGAGGAGCAAUU